CAGGGGCCGCUGUCACAGCAGUGCUGGGCGCCGAGCGCUGACUUCUUCCCGCGCGACUCUCUCAGAUGCCGGCGUCCCGUCCCGUAGAUCGGCAAGGCAUUUUGCAGAGGAAGAAACUGCAGUUUAAAGAGUGGCUGGCCUGUAGUCAUCAAGCCUGCAGACAGGAGAGGCAACACCCAGACUCAGAGAACAGGGUGUCUCUUUAUUAUACUACAGUGCAUCCUGCAGUUUUCAGAAAUGCUUUCGUUGUAUGAACUACAUGGUUCAGUUCCCAAAGGAAACCCAGGCCAAGCCUCACACCUCCAGGCAGCUGAUGAAGAGCAGGUUUGUCCUCUGGCUUGAACAACUGGCUGAUGGUGACAUUCUGCAGUUUGGUGACAUCUGAAGCCAUAAUUGUUGAUCUG
RNAcentral lists this long non-coding RNA (404 nucleotides) under Mus musculus (house mouse). RNAcentral describes it as "RIKEN cDNA A930037H05 gene". Lineage: Eukaryota; Metazoa; Chordata; Mammalia; Rodentia; Muridae. The record is from RNAcentral.